UUGCCAAGGGCACGCUGGCGCCCGGAGCACCCCCUUCUCUCACCCCGCUAUUCCCAGGGCUGCUCCUCACGCUUUUCCCCUCACACUUCUUCCCUCGCACCUCCCGGCAGCCCUUCGCGCCCUCGCAGAGCCGCCGCCGCCAUCGCUGCCGGGCUCGGCUGCGGCCUGCGGCAGGGCCGGCCCCGAACCGGCCGCACCCGGCCCCGGCCUCUCCUCACGGGGGCCCGGCAGACCCCGCUGCCGGCCCGGGUGUUGGUCUGCGGGCGGCGGUGUGUUUGAAAGCCUUACGUAUGAAAGCUCUCUGAAAAGAGCUGGCUUUACCCCUGCGGAUGUUACUGGAGUGGUGACUUGUGAGCAGACUGGAUACAGAGAGGUGAGAUGGGGGAAAACACUCUUCCAGCCUUCCCACUGCCUGUCUGCAGCUGGAACGCCUGGCUGAUGGUUUUGAAUGCUUGGAGUUGGCAGUCCUGAUCUGAGCCAUUCGCUUUUCCAAAGAGACUGCAAGUCAUCAAAAGACAAAAGAUAAGCCUGUGGCCAUACGGUGCUGGAACGUUUCCAGAUCCAAAUCAGCCAGAAAAAAAAAGUGAGACUACAAGACAAACACCAGACCUCUUGAGUUUCGUCUGUCCCAGGAAUCACAACCAAUCUCUCUGAACGCUCAGCCCGAAGAAGGUUAGAGGGAUCCCGCACCGCCAACUGAAACACCAGGGCGAUAUACGUCAUGCGCGGUCUGAAGGGAAAUGUUAAGGCAGAGCUUGGACAGCUAUCAACGAACGGCUUUUGCAACGUAUGAGUUUCAUCUGUCCUGCAAAAUAUGGGGGUUUGAUGCUUCUGUUACUCUUACUAAACUAGAGGACGGCAGGCUAAGUGCUGUAAAACUGCAGUGCUCUGGUUACUCCUUCUACCUCUUUUACAGCUUUCCUGUGUAUCGGCACCACCCAGGGAAAGAAAUACCUAAAUUUAACUUGCCACCUCCCAAAAUCAUUUCCGAGACUGAAAAAGGGAACUGAAAUAACUACCGUCACAAGAACUUUUUCACAAAAAAGAAACGCUUUAGCCUGAUUUCCAAAUGAAAUCCAACUGAUGUCUUGCUUGGAAGGGACAGCUACGCUUUAAUAGGUUCAUCGGCUAUUUCUUUUCUGCCUCUGUGUUCUUAAUGAUAAAGGAUAAAUAGGUAGAGCUGAUGCCUGGGUGAGCAAAUUCUCAUGGAACUUCUCCAAUUUAGAGGGAUGAGUUAAUUUGCUUUUUCUUUCCAAUGCUAUUUCAUGCAUCAUAUGACAAGACACAUCUGUUCAGUGACUAAUAUAAAGGGAAUAUCCCAUGUGUGUAAGCGGCACAAGCCUGCCUCACACUCAACCUUUCUGAAUUUUUUUCGAGGGCUGGUUAUGCAAUAAAUAAAUGGGGACAAAUUCAUCCCAGGGAAGAACUUUUAGUCAGCUUUGAAAGCAGCAAUUUGGCUUGGAAAAAUAUUCAACAUCAAAAUAAUAAUGAGUGCAUGUUAGUGCUGACAGUCCUGGAGACAAGAAUUCUCCGUGCGUCCGGAGCCAACUUCUCAAGUCCUCUCUCCUUCAUAUCUUAGCUCUUACAUAUGGAAAACCCUCAGCAGAAGGGGUGGAGGAUGGGAGUGGAAGGGUUUGUAAGACUAAAUGCCUCGAGAUUUGGCUUUCAGCGAACAGGCAUGCCAGGCCUCGAAAACCAGUGGUGAGGACAUUGAUGGCACCUGACGCUGUUUUGCUCCACUGCUGAUCCCGAGGGAACCCACGGGGAAAGAGGGGGGUAGAGAAGAGGGGCCACUGAUGUCUUCGUGCUGGCUAAGGUGCCAAUAAAACACCAGACACUUGCAUUUUGCAGUCCCUACGCUGGUUCUGUAGGACCUCCCUGUAGGCCACGGAGCAGGCAGCUGAAGUGAAUGGCAUUUGGUCUGUGCCAUCUGGAGUUGUCAGUUUAAUGAUGUAGGACUCAGGGAACAGUUUAAUAACUAAAUCUAGCCAGUAGCCCUAGCAGUCCUUGGAGCUUUGCAAUACUUUGAAACAGUUGUGCAAUAAAGAGGAAAAUAAGAACGUAUUGAAAAGGAGUAUUUCAUCAACUAGAGGCUGGGGAAUAAAUCACAGAAAACCAUGCACUGAAAGUAAUGUAUCUGCUAGAUUUGGCUGGGCUUUGGGAUUUGUUUUUCGUCUAUUUCUAUUCACAGAUUGUUCGUCUGCAAAUUGCUGUCCACUGCUUCAAGUGGUGUCUAAGUGCAUCAUGCAGUUAAAGUUUAUGAACCAGUGUUGCCAGUGGAGCUCCGUUACUUCCACUAGCUGAACUGUUGGCCUUAUGUAUGUUUUUAUGACCUUUUUCAUUAUUCUUGAUUGUUUGAUGAUGACAAUAUAUUCCUUCCUUUCUGCGAGUGA
This is a non-coding RNA of Phalacrocorax carbo (great cormorant), 2393 nucleotides long. Lineage: Eukaryota; Metazoa; Chordata; Aves; Suliformes; Phalacrocoracidae. The record is from RefSeq and is a predicted model, not a curated record.